This 860-nucleotide ribosomal RNA is filed under the name Yersinia sp. (in: enterobacteria). RNAcentral describes it as "bacterial SSU rRNA". It matches the Rfam family "Bacterial small subunit ribosomal RNA", at positions 26 to 877 of the family's 1533-position model. The record is from RNAcentral. Lineage: Bacteria; Pseudomonadati; Pseudomonadota; Gammaproteobacteria; Enterobacterales; Yersiniaceae.
UAAUUGACGCUGGCGGCAGGCCUAACACAUGCAAGUCGAGCGGCAGCGGGAAGUAGCUUGCUACUUUGCCGGCGAGCGGCGGACGGGUGAGUAAUGUCUGGGGAUCUGCCCGAUGGAGGGGGAUAACUACUGGAAACGGUAGCUAAUACCGCAUAACGUCGCAAGACCAAAGUGGGGGACCUUCGGGCCUCACACCAUCGGAUGAACCCAGAUGGGAUUAGCUAGUAGGUGGGGUAACGGCUCACCUAGGCGACGAUCCCUAGCUGGUCUGAGAGGAUGACCAGCCACACUGGAACUGAGACACGGUCCAGACUCCUACGGGAGGCAGCAGUGGGGAAUAUUGCACAAUGGGCGCAAGCCUGAUGCAGCCAUGCCGCGUGUGUGAAGAAGGCCUUCGGGUUGUAAAGCACUUUCAGCGGGGAGGAAGGAGUAAGUGUUAAUAGCACUUAUUAUUGACGUUACCCGCAGAAGAAGCACCGGCUAACUCCGUGCCAGCAGCCGCGGUAAUACGGAGGGUGCGAGCGUUAAUCGGAAUUACUGGGCGUAAAGCGUACGCAGGCGGUUUGUUAAGUCAGAUGUGAAAUCCCCGAGCUUAACUCGGGAACUGCAUUUGAAACUGGCAGGCUAGAGUCUCGUAGAGGGGGGUAGAAUUCCAGGUGUAGCGGUGAAAUGCGUAGAGAUCUGGAGGAAUACCGGUGGCGAAGGCGGCCCCCUGGACGAAGACUGACGCUCAGGUACGAAAGCGUGGGGAGCAAACAGGAUUAGAUACCCUGGUAGUCCACGCUGUAAACGAUGUCGAUUUGAAGGUUGUGGCCUUGAGCCGUGGCUUUCGGAGCUAACGCGUAAAUCGACCGCCUGGA